Molecule: ribosomal RNA, 367 nt
Filed under: uncultured bacterium
Lineage: Bacteria
Description: bacterial SSU rRNA
Rfam family: Bacterial small subunit ribosomal RNA
Source: RNAcentral
CACGUUGGAACCUGCCCCAAAGUGAGGAAUAAGCCACCGAAAGGUGGUCUUAAUACUUCAUAAUAUCCAUCUCGUAUGGAUUAAAGCUUUAUGCGCUUUAGGAGGGGCCUGCGUAACAUUAGCUUGUUGGUGAGGUAAAAGCUCACCAAGGCUUCGAUGUUUAACUGGUUUGAGAGGAUGACCAGUCACACUGGGACUGAGAUACGGCCCAGACUCCUACGGGAGGCAGCAGUAAGGAAUCUUCCACAAUGGGGGCAACCCUGAUGGAGCAAUACCGCGUGCAGGAUGAAGCGUUUCGGCGUGUAAACUGCUUUUAUCACCGAAGAUUAUGACUGUAGGUGAAGAAUAAGGACCGGCUAACUACGUG